This 254-nucleotide ribosomal RNA is filed under the name uncultured bacterium. RNAcentral's name for it is "partial 16S ribosomal RNA". It matches the Rfam family "Bacterial small subunit ribosomal RNA", at positions 524 to 776 of the family's 1533-position model. The record is from RNAcentral.
UACGUAGGCAGCAAGCGUUGUUCGGAGUUACUGGGCGUAAAGGGUGUGUAGGCGGUUAUUUAAGUUUGGUGUGAAAUCUCCCGGCUCAACCGGGAGGGUGCGCCGAAUACUGAAUGACUUGGAGUGCGGGAGAGGAAAGUGGAAUUCCUGGUGUAGCGGUGAAAUGCGCAGAUAUCAGGAAGAACACCCGUGGCGAGGGCGGCUCUCUGGGACGGUACUGACGCUGAGACGCGAAAGCGUGGGGAGCGAACAGG